CCUACGGGAGGCAGCAGUGGGGAAUAUUGGACAAUGGGCGAAAGCCUGAUCCAGCCAUGCCGCGUGUGUGAAGAAGGCCUUCGGGUUGUAAAGCACUUUCAGUGGGGAAGAAAGCCUUGGGGCUAAUACCCUCGAGGAAGGACAUCACCCACAGAAGAAGCACCGGCUAACUCCGUGCCAGCAGCCGCGGUAAUACGGAGGGUGCGGGCGUUAAUCGGAAUUACUGGGCGUAAAGCGCGCGUAGGCGGUCUGAUAAGCCGGUUGUGAAAGCCCCGGGCUCAACCUGGGAACGGCAUCCGGAACUGUCAGGCUAGAGUGCAGGAGAGGAAGGUAGAAUUCCCGGUGUAGCGGUGAAAUGCGUAGAGAUCGGGAGGAAUACCAGUGGCGAAGGCGGCCUUCUGGACUGACACUGACGCUGAGGUGCGAAAGCGUGGGUAGCAAACAGGAUUAGAUACCCGAGUAGUC
Molecule: ribosomal RNA, 465 nt
Filed under: Vreelandella stevensii
Lineage: Bacteria; Pseudomonadati; Pseudomonadota; Gammaproteobacteria; Oceanospirillales; Halomonadaceae
Description: partial 16S ribosomal RNA
Rfam family: Bacterial small subunit ribosomal RNA
Source: RNAcentral